RNAcentral lists this long non-coding RNA (288 nucleotides) under Parus major (Great Tit). RNAcentral describes it as "lncRNA (ENSPMJG00000005029.1)". The record is from RNAcentral. Lineage: Eukaryota; Metazoa; Chordata; Aves; Passeriformes; Paridae.
UGUAUAUAUAUGCUGUUUUCCUGUGCAGAGUAACAAAAUUAUUUGCUUCUUUUGCACCAUAACAGAUCUUCACAGUAACUGUCACAUACCUCUGGUGCUUAUGAAUUAUUGGCCUCCUACUUGUGAAAGAAAUCUAACACUGUCCUCACCAGUUACAGAAAAAAAAGGGACUGAACUGAGAGUGGGAAAAUAAUGAUAAUACUUCUUUCUUGCAAAAGAAAAAGGUAAGAUUUCGAGGACCAUAAUACUGCAGGUACUUAUUUAUGGCAUACUAAUAACUAUGAGGUA